AACGUACGCUGGCGGCACGCCUAACACAUGCAAGUCGAACGAAGUAGCAAUACUUAGUGGCAGACGGGUGAGUAACAUGUAGGUAUCUGCCCUUUGGCCUGGAAUAACACGAGGAAACUUGUGCUAAUACCGGAUAAGUCUUUACGGAGAAAGCUUUAUGCACCAUUGGAUGAGCCUGCACUUGAUUAGUUUGUUGGUGGGGUAAUGGCCUACCAAGACUGUGAUCAAUAGCUGAUUUGAGAGGAUGACCAGCCACAUUGGGACUGAGACACGGCCCAAACUCCUACGGGAGGCAGCAGUGGGGAAUCUUGCACAAUGGAGGAAACUCUGAUGCAGCGAUGCCGCGUGAGUGAAGAAGGCCCUUGGGUUGUAAAGCUCUUUCGUCGGGGAAGAAAAUGACUGUACCCGAAUAAGAAGGUCCGGCUAACUUCGUG
Molecule: ribosomal RNA, 434 nt
Filed under: uncultured bacterium
Lineage: Bacteria
Description: bacterial SSU rRNA
Rfam family: Bacterial small subunit ribosomal RNA
Source: RNAcentral